RNAcentral lists this ribosomal RNA (465 nucleotides) under uncultured bacterium. RNAcentral describes it as "partial 16S ribosomal RNA". It matches the Rfam family "Bacterial small subunit ribosomal RNA", at positions 28 to 507 of the family's 1533-position model. The record is from RNAcentral.
GACGAACGCUGGCGGCGUGCUUAACACAUGCAAGUCGAACGGAAAGGCCCUGCUUGCAGGGUACUCGAGUGGCGAACGGGUGAGUAACACGUGGGUGAUCUGCCCUGCACUUCGGGAUAAGCCUGGGAAACUGGGUCUAAUACCGGAUAGGAGCCAUUUUUAGUGUGAUGGUUGGAAAGUUUUUUCGGUGUAGGAUGAGCUCGCGGCCUAUCAGCUUGUUGGUGGGGUAAUGGCCUACCAAGGCGGCGACGGGUAGCCGGCCUGAGAGGGUGGACGGCCACAGUGGGACUGAGAGACGGCCCAGACUCCGACGGGAGGCAGCAGUGGGGAAGAUUGCACAAUGGGCGCAAGCCUGAUGCAGCGACGCCGCGUGGGGGAUGACGGCCUUCGGGUUGUAAACUCCUUUCGCUAGGGACGAAGCUUUUUGUGACGGUACCUAGAUAAGAAGCACCGGCUAACUACGUG